GCGCCGCUAGCUCAGUUGGUUAGAGCAGCUGACUCUUAAUCAGCGGGUCCGGGGUUCGAGUCCCUGGCGGCGCACCU
This 77-nucleotide transfer RNA is filed under the name Kitasatospora aureofaciens. Its description in RNAcentral is "tRNA-Lys". It matches the Rfam family "tRNA". Rfam says of the family: Transfer RNA (tRNA) molecules are approximately 80 nucleotides in length. Lineage: Bacteria; Bacillati; Actinomycetota; Actinomycetes; Kitasatosporales; Streptomycetaceae. The record is from RNAcentral. RNAcentral also lists the same sequence under 94 other names.